Sturnus vulgaris (Common starling) is the source of this 503-nucleotide non-coding RNA. Lineage: Eukaryota; Metazoa; Chordata; Aves; Passeriformes; Sturnidae. The record is from RefSeq and is a predicted model, not a curated record.
AUUUUUGAAAUGCCUGAAAUGCUGUUGCUUCCUCUUACAGAUCUUGGUUCCAGCUGCUUCCCACAUCUCCAGGAGAUGAUGAAAAAAGAGCUCAUCAGUGGGUCAAGGAAAAUACACAACUCACUUCCUGAAGGCUGAGUUGGGAGAGGUGAUGCUGUGAUCACUGGGUGCUGGCUCUUCACCCCAGAGGGUUUGCCCUGCUGCCAACAACUGCACGUUGCUGUUCCUUGUCUUCUGUGAAUACUUGCCCAACAUUAAGAUGGACCAUCCUGAGGUUCUAGAAGGCUACAAGCCAAGAGUGAACCACAAAAGAUGAGUCCCAGCUGCAUUGUGCCUGAAUAAGGAGCUGGAGGGAAGCUGCCAAGAUCUUUGGCCUAUCCAGGGAACUGUUGCUGGCAUGGAGGUGUUCACACCAGCUCCUGCACAGGACACACAAGUGUCUGCUCACAGAAAGCCUGUACUUGCCAAGGUAAUGCAGCUAAUCCCUAACACAGGUCCCUGCA